CCUACGGGCGGCAGCAGUGGGGAAUAUUGGACAAUGGGCGAAAGCCUGAUCCAGCCAUGCCGCGUGUGUGAAGAAGGCCUUCGGGUUGUAAAGCACUUUCAGUGGGGAAGAAAGCCUUGGGGCUAAUACCCUCGAGGAAGGACAUCACCCACAGAAGAAGCACCGGCUAACUCCGUGCCAGCAGCCGCGGUAAUACGGAGGGUGCGAGCGUUAAUCGGAAUUACUGGGCGUAAAGCGCGCGUAGGCGGUCUGAUAAGCCGGUUGUGAAAGCCCCGGGCUCAACCUGGGAACGGCAUCCGGAACUGUCAGGCUAGAGUGCAGGAGAGGAAGGUAGAAUUCCCGGUGUAGCGGUGAAAUGCGUAGAGAUCGGGAGGAAUACCAGUGGCGAAGGCGGCCUUCUGGACUGACACUGACGCUGAGGUGCGAAAGCGUGGGUAGCAAACAGGAUUAGAUCCCCUAGUAGUC
This 465-nucleotide ribosomal RNA is filed under the name Vreelandella stevensii. RNAcentral describes it as "partial 16S ribosomal RNA". It matches the Rfam family "Bacterial small subunit ribosomal RNA", at positions 338 to 795 of the family's 1533-position model. Lineage: Bacteria; Pseudomonadati; Pseudomonadota; Gammaproteobacteria; Oceanospirillales; Halomonadaceae. The record is from RNAcentral.